Molecule: non-coding RNA, 504 nt
Organism: Carica papaya (papaya)
Lineage: Eukaryota; Viridiplantae; Streptophyta; Magnoliopsida; Brassicales; Caricaceae
Source: RefSeq, a predicted model, not a curated record
GUUUGACGUCACUCCUGAUCCCUGAACUUGCACCAACUACUCCUAUAAAUAGCUCAUGACGAAUCUAACACAAACCAUGCGCUUUGUUCAUCGGCCAGAAGAAACUUCCAGAUAACUCCAUCAAUGGCUACUGCCGUGCAAGAGAAGUUGCCCCCCGCGCUGGAUUCUACUGCGGAUCAGCCGCCUCUCUUUGAUGGAACUACGAGGUUGUAUAUUAGCGACAUUUGCCCAUUUGCGCAGCGUGUGUGGAUCACUAGAAAUUACAAGGUUGUUCCUCUCUCAUUUUUCGAUUUCUCUUCCUUUUUUUUUUCUUUUUGCAAAAUAUGUUCUUCGUAUAACUGCCUUUAUCAAAUUGAAAAAGAACCACGUAUGGAAUUAUAAAAUUGUUUUCUGAUUUUGAUGCUCGUUUUCAUGUUUAUUUUUAAGUUUUCAGUUUCAUUUUCCAUUUUUUGUUUUUCUUCCCUAAGAAACUUAUUUUACAAAUAAGUCCUCCAACUCGAAUGG